RNAcentral lists this ribosomal RNA (1359 nucleotides) under uncultured bacterium. RNAcentral describes it as "bacterial SSU rRNA". It matches the Rfam family "Bacterial small subunit ribosomal RNA", at positions 28 to 1381 of the family's 1533-position model. The record is from RNAcentral.
GAUGAACGCUAGCUACAGGCUUAACACAUGCAAGUCGAGGGGCAGCAUUUUAGUUUGCUUGCAAACUGAAGAUGGCGACCGGCGCACGGGUGAGUAACACGUAUCCAACCUGCCGAUAACUCCGGGAUAGCCUUUCGAAAGAAAGAUUAAUACCGGAUAGUAUACGAAUAUCGCAUGAUAUUUUUAUUAAAGAAUUUCGGUUAUCGAUGGGGAUGCGUUCCAUUAGUUUGUUGGCGGGGUAACGGCCCACCAAGACUACGAUGGAUAGGGGUUCUGAGAGGAAGGUCCCCCACAUUGGAACUGAGACACGGUCCAAACUCCUACGGGAGGCAGCAGUGAGGAAUAUUGGUCAAUGGGCGAGAGCCUGAACCAGCCAAGUAGCGUGAAGGAUGAAGGCUCUAUGGGUCGUAAACUUCUUUUAUAUGGGAAUAAAGUUUUCCACGUGUGGAAUUUUGUAUGUACCAUAUGAAUAAGGAUCGGCUAACUCCGUGCCAGCAGCCGCGGUAAUACGGAGGAUCCGAGCGUUAUCCGGAUUUAUUGGGUUUAAAGGGAGCGUAGGCGGAUUGUUAAGUCAGUUGUGAAAGUUUGCGGCUCAACCGUAAAAUUGCAGUUGAUACUGGCAGUCUUGAGUGCAGUAGAGGUGGGCGGAAUUCGUGGUGUAGCGGUGAAAUGCUUAGAUAUCACGAAGAACUCCGAUUGCGAAGGCAGCUCACUGGAGUGUAACUGACGCUGAUGCUCGAAAGUGUGGGUAUCAAACAGGAUUAGAUACCCUGGUAGUCCACACAGUAAACGAUGAAUACUCGCUGUUUGCGAUAUACAGUAAGCGGCCAAGCGAAAGCAUUAAGUAUUCCACCUGGGGAGUACGCCGGCAACGGUGAAACUCAAAGGAAUUGACGGGGGCCCGCACAAGCGGAGGAACAUGUGGUUUAAUUCGAUGAUACGCGAGGAACCUUACCCGGGCUUAAAUUGCAAAUGAAUUAUGGGGAAACCCAUACGCCGCAAGGCAUUUGUGAAGGUGCUGCAUGGUUGUCGUCAGCUCGUGCCGUGAGGUGUCGGCUUAAGUGCCAUAACGAGCGCAACCCUUAUCUUCAGUUACUAACAGGUCAUGCUGAGGACUCUGGAGAGACUGCCGUCGUAAGAUGUGAGGAAGGUGGGGAUGACGUCAAAUCAGCACGGCCCUUACGUCCGGGGCUACACACGUGUUACAAUGGGGGGUACAGAAGGCCGCUACCUGGUGACAGGAUGCCAAUCCCAAAAACCUCUCUCAGUUCGGAUCGAAGUCUGCAACCCGACUUCGUGAAGCUGGAUUCGCUAGUAAUCGCGCAUCAGCCAUGGCGCGGUGAAUACGUUCCCGGGCCU